AGUGAACGCUGGCGGCAUGCCUUACACAUGCAAGUCGAACGGCAGCACGGGUGCUUGCACCUGGUGGCGAGUGGCGAACGGGUGAGUAAUACAUCGGAACAUGUCCUGUCGUGGGGGAUAGCCCGGCGAAAGCCGGGUUAAUACCGCAUACGAUCUACGGAUGCAAGCGGGGGCCCUGCGUCCCUCGCGCUAUAGGGUUGGACGGUGGCGGAUUAGCUAGUUGGUGGGGUAAAGGCCUACCAAGGCGACGACCAGUAGCUGGUCUGAGAGGACGACCAGCCACACUGGAACUGAGACACGGCCCAGACUCCUACGGGAGGCAGCAGUGGGGAAUUUUGGACAAUGGGCGAAAGCCUGAUCCAGCAAUGCCGCGUGUGUGAAGAAGGCCUUCGGGUUGUAAAGCACUUUUGUUCGGAAAGAAAUCCUUGGCUCUAAUACAGUCGGGGGAUGACGGUACCGGAAGAAUAAGCACCGGCUAACUACGUG
RNAcentral lists this ribosomal RNA (486 nucleotides) under uncultured bacterium. RNAcentral describes it as "partial 16S ribosomal RNA". It matches the Rfam family "Bacterial small subunit ribosomal RNA", at positions 29 to 507 of the family's 1533-position model. The record is from RNAcentral.